GAAGAGAUGCCGGAGCGGCUGAACGGACCAGUCUCGAAAACUGGAGUAGGGGCAACGCUACAGGGGGCUCAAAUCCUCUCUCUCCGCCA
This 89-nucleotide transfer RNA is filed under the name Pectobacterium carotovorum. Its description in RNAcentral is "tRNA-Ser". It matches the Rfam family "tRNA". From Rfam's summary of the family: Transfer RNA (tRNA) molecules are approximately 80 nucleotides in length. Their secondary structure includes four short double-helical elements and three loops (D, anti-codon, and T loops). Lineage: Bacteria; Pseudomonadati; Pseudomonadota; Gammaproteobacteria; Enterobacterales; Pectobacteriaceae. The record is from RNAcentral. RNAcentral also lists the same sequence under 2 other names.